GGCUUAAUUUGACUCAACGCGGGAAAUCUUACCGGGUCCGGACACACUGAGGAUUGACAGACAAAUAUGGAAAUUUUAUAUUUCUCAUAUAUAAAGAUGCUAGUUCUUUCAUGAUUAUGUGAUAGGUGGUGCAUGGCCGUUCUUAGUUCGUGGAGUGAUCUGUCUGCUUAAUUGCGUUUCAAUUUUUAUUAUGUAUACGUAUGACCCACGUUUACGCGUGCGAGUCUAGUAUGCUAUCAUUUGAAAGCAACGAACGUGACCGUAUCCUUUUAUUAUAUACGCACGCGUAUAUUUAUUCAUUAAAGGGACCGCUGUUUCUUUUUUUAAACCAGAGGAAGGUUACGGCAAUAACAGGUCUGUGAUGCC
This 366-nucleotide ribosomal RNA is filed under the name Elphidium williamsoni. RNAcentral's name for it is "SSU rRNA". It matches the Rfam family "Eukaryotic small subunit ribosomal RNA", at positions 1187 to 1471 of the family's 1831-position model. Lineage: Eukaryota; Foraminifera; Rotaliida; Elphidiidae. The record is from RNAcentral.